CAGACAUCUGUGUAUGUAGCAAGGAGCCUAAUGUUAACCCCCAAGACCAGGGGGAAAACAUCUCCAGGCCAUGUCAAAGAUCUUCAGGGCAGCCCCUCCCAGCACAGGCUAGUGGCCCAGGAGGAAGAAGUGGUUUUGCAGGCUGGGCGCAGGGUCUGCAUGCUGUUUAGAGUGAACAGGUCCACCCUCUGAAAUGUGUGGACAUGAGAUUCGGCGGGGCCAGGGGCAGAAUGAUAUGGUUUGGCUUUGUCUCCACCCA
This is a long non-coding RNA of Sapajus apella (tufted capuchin), 259 nucleotides long. RefSeq lists it as uncharacterized. Lineage: Eukaryota; Metazoa; Chordata; Mammalia; Primates; Cebidae. The record is from RefSeq and is a predicted model, not a curated record. The transcript has 3 exons.